RNAcentral lists this ribosomal RNA (468 nucleotides) under uncultured bacterium. RNAcentral describes it as "partial 16S ribosomal RNA". It matches the Rfam family "Bacterial small subunit ribosomal RNA", at positions 28 to 507 of the family's 1533-position model. The record is from RNAcentral.
GACGAACGCUGGCGGCGUGCUUAACACAUGCAAGUCGAACGGAAAGACCCUGCUCUGGUGGUGUUCUCGAGUCGCAAAGGGGUGUAAAACGUGUGAGUCACCUGCUCUUGAUUUUGGGAACUCCUGAGAAAUCUGGGGAUAAUACCGGAUAAGCGCCCCUUCCGCAUGGUGGGGGUUGGAAAGUUUCGGCGGUGGGGGAUGGUCUCGCGGCUUCUCAGCUUUUUGGUGGGGUUGUGGCUUACCAAGGCUUUGACGGGGAGCGGGCCUGAGAGGGGCACCGGCCACAUUGGGACGGAGAUACGGCCCAGACUCCUACGGGAGGCAGCGGUGGGGAUUAUUGCACAAUGGGCGGAAGCCGGAUGAAGCAACGCCGCGUGGGGGAUGACGGCCUUCGGGUUGUAAACCGUUUUCGCCUGUGCGGAAGCGUGAGUGACGGUAAUGGGUAAAGAAGCACCGGCUAACUACGUG